This 315-nucleotide ribosomal RNA is filed under the name Triticum aestivum (bread wheat). RNAcentral describes it as "partial small subunit ribosomal RNA". The record is from RNAcentral. Lineage: Eukaryota; Viridiplantae; Streptophyta; Magnoliopsida; Poales; Poaceae.
AUGGUUUUGAAGAACACCGAUGCAACCGCCCAUGCCGAAGUAACUGCAAUAAGAGAGGCUUGUAAGAAGCUUGGGAAGAUCGACCUGUCGGAUUGCGAAAUGUAUGCAUCCUGCGAACCUUGUUCGAUGUGUUUCGGCGCUGUUCGUCUAUCCCGGAUCAAGAGGCUGGUGUAUGGAGCCACGGCAGAAGCUGCUAUUGCCAUGGGAAGCUGCUACCAGAAUGCCAACCUGGAGAUAAAGCGAGCAGAUGGGAAUGGAGCCCUGCUUGCUGAACAAGUCUUUCAGAACACCAAGGGGAAAUUUCCAAUGUACUAA